AGAGUUUGAUUCUGGCUCGAUUGAACGCUGGCGGCAGGCCUAACACAUGCAAGUCCAACGGUAACAGGAAGAAGCUUGCUUCUUUGCUGACGAGUGGCGGACGGGUGAGUAAUGUCUGGGAAACUGCCUGAUGGAGGGGGAUAACUACUGGAAACGGUAGCUAAUACCGCAUAACGUCGCAAGACCAAAGUGGGGGACCUUCGGGCCUCAUGCCAUCAAAUGUGCCCAGAUGGGAUUAGCUAGUAUGUGGGGUAACGGCUCACUAGGCGACGAUCCCUAGCUGGUCUGAGAGGAUGACCAGCCACACUGGAACUGAGACACGGUCCAGACUCCUACGGGAGGCAGCAGUGGGGAAUAUUGCACAAUGGGCGCAAGCCUGAUCCAGCCAUGCCGCGUGUGUGAAGAAGGUCUUCGGAUUGUAAAGCACUUUAAGUUGGGAGGAAGGGCAGUAAGUUAAUACCUUGCUGUUUUGACGUUACCAACAGAAUAAGCACCGGCUAACUUCGUGCCAGCAGCCGCGGUAAUACGAAGGGUGCAAGCGUUAAUCGGAAUUACUGGGCGUAAAGCGCGCGUAGGUGGUUCAGCAAGUUGGAUGUGAAAUCCCCGGGCUCAACCUGGGAACUGCAUCCAAAACUACUGAGCUAGAGUACGGUAGAGGGUGGUGGAAUUUCCUGUGUAGCGGUGAAAUGCGUAGAUAUAGGAAGGAACACCAGUGGCGAAGGCGACCACCUGGACUGAUACAGACACUGAGGUGCGAAAGCGUGGGGAGCAAACAGGAUUAGAUACCCUGGUAGUCCACGCCGUAAACGAUGUCGACUAGCCGUUGGGAUCCUUGAGAUCUUAGUGGCGCAGCUAACGCGAUAAGUCGACCGCCUGGGGAGUACGGCCGCAAGGUUAAAACUCAAAUGAAUUGACGGGGGCCCGCACAAGCGGUGGGAGCAUGGUGGUUUAAUUCGAAGCAACGCGAAGAACCUUACCUGGCCUUGACAUGCUGAGACUUCAGAAGAUGGAUUGGUGCUUCGGGAGCUCAGACCCAGGUGCUGCAUGGCUUGUCGUCAGCUCGGUGUCGUGGAGAUGGUUGGUUAAGUCCGGUAAAGAGCGCAUCCUUUUUCUUUUAUUUCCCAGCGGUCCGGCUAGAACUAAAAGGAGUUGUCCAUUGAUAAACUGGAGGAGGGUGGGGAUAAUUCUAGUCUUCAUGUUCUUAGGACCAGGGUUACACACGUGUUACAAUGGCGCUAACAAAGAGAAGCGACCUCGGGUAGCAAGCGGACUUCAUAAAGUGUGUCGUAGUUCGGAUAGGAGUUUGCAAUUUGACUCCAGGAAGUCGGAUUCGUUAGUAAUGGUGGAUCAGAAUGCCACGGUGAAUACGUUCCCGGGCCUUGUACACACCGCCCGUCACACCAUGGGAGUGGGUUGCAAAAGAAGUAGGUAGCUUAACCUUGGGGAGGGCGCUUACCACUUUGUGAUUCAUGACUGGGGGGAAGUCGUAACAAGGUAGCCGUA
Molecule: ribosomal RNA, 1503 nt
Filed under: Pseudomonas sp. enrichment culture clone 18(2012)
Lineage: Bacteria; Pseudomonadati; Pseudomonadota; Gammaproteobacteria; Pseudomonadales; Pseudomonadaceae
Description: 16S ribosomal RNA
Rfam family: Bacterial small subunit ribosomal RNA
Source: RNAcentral